AUGUGCAAUGCCUGCCAGCUUACGUCACCCACGUCAGCCCUUCUUGGAUGCCCUCUAUUUCUGCAACUGUGGUCGUGGGAGAGGUUCUCCAUAGGACGACCGGACGUACAUGUUGACGAGCCUAUGGAUAUCAUGUUUGAUGUUGAAGGCAUCGACAUGCCUACCUUCAGUCUGAGUUGGACAUGUCGCAGCAGAUGCUUUGCUGGUGAUCAGACCAGACGAGCUUACACGGCACUAAACGAGCAGUUUGAUGCGUACAGUGGGGUGAUCUGGCAGCCGUACACGCAAGAAGCCAUAGAUGCAAGAUACCCCGGCAGUUUGUCCGUGCUGUGCACAAGAGACGCCGAUUAUUGGAAGACGAAAUCGAAGAUCAUCUUCGAUGUCUUCGUCGAGGAGAUGGCCUAG
This 405-nucleotide ribosomal RNA is filed under the name Triticum aestivum (bread wheat). RNAcentral describes it as "partial small subunit ribosomal RNA". Lineage: Eukaryota; Viridiplantae; Streptophyta; Magnoliopsida; Poales; Poaceae. The record is from RNAcentral.